AAAAAUGGGAUUGUUACAACCGUUUCUCUAAACGAAAGAAAAGGUAGGGAUUUUGGGUUUUUGCAAGUAUUCAACAGGACAAAUAGAACAAACUAUAUUGGUCCUCUUAGAGAUCGAAUUCAAAUUCCAUUUGAAUUUAUCAAAAAAAUGAAUUAAAAGGUCUUUGCUGAUUUAGCUCGUUGAAUUAAAAAUUGUUCGAAUUGUAUAAUCGUCAAUUACGCGCAUCGGUAAACGCCCU
Molecule: long non-coding RNA, 238 nt
Filed under: Linum usitatissimum (flax)
Lineage: Eukaryota; Viridiplantae; Streptophyta; Magnoliopsida; Malpighiales; Linaceae
Description: long non-coding RNA (LUSI_LNC007816)
Source: RNAcentral